This 478-nucleotide ribosomal RNA is filed under the name uncultured bacterium. RNAcentral's name for it is "partial 16S ribosomal RNA". It matches the Rfam family "Bacterial small subunit ribosomal RNA", at positions 28 to 507 of the family's 1533-position model. The record is from RNAcentral.
GAUGAACGCUGGCGGCGUGCCUAACACAUGCAAGUCGAACGGAGUCCAGCCUUUAAGACCUUCGGGUCAAAGAGGGGAAGACUGAGUGGCGGACGGGUGAGUAACACGUGGGCAACCUGGCUCAUAGAGGGGGAUAACAGAGAGAAAUUUCUGCUAAUACCGCAUAAGCACACACUGCCGCAUGGCAGAGGGUGAAAAGAGAAUCGCUAUGAGAUGGACCCGCGUCUGAUUAGCCAGUUGGCAGGGUAAGAGCCUACCAAAGCGACGAUCAGUAGCCGAUCUGAGAGGAUGACCGGCCACAUUGGGACUGAGACACGGCCCAAACUCCUACGGGAAGCAGCAGUGGGGGAUAUUGCACAAUGGGGGGAACCCUGAUGCAGCGACGCCGCGUGAGUGAAGAAGUAUUUCGGUAUGUAAAGCUCUAUCAGCAGGGAAGAUAAUGACAGUACCUGAAUAAGAAGCCCCGGCUAACUACGUG